This 292-nucleotide ribosomal RNA is filed under the name uncultured microorganism. Its description in RNAcentral is "partial 16S ribosomal RNA". It matches the Rfam family "Bacterial small subunit ribosomal RNA", at positions 505 to 796 of the family's 1533-position model. The record is from RNAcentral.
GUGCCAGCAGCCGCGGUAAUACGUAGGGUGCGAGCGUUGUCCGGAAUUAUUGGGCGUAAAGAGCUCGUAGGCGGUGUGUCGCGUCGGCCGUGAAAACCUACAGCUUAACUGUGGGCGUGCGGUCGAUACGGGCAGACUUGAGUUCGGUAGGGGAGACUGGAAUUCCUGGUGUAGCGGUGGAAUGCGCAGAUAUCAGGAGGAACACCGGUGGCGAAGGCGGGUCUCUGGGCCGAUACUGACGCUGAGGAGCGAAAGCGUGGGGAGCGAACAGGAUUAGAUACCCUGGUAGUCC